UACAGAGAGUGCGAGCGUUGUUCGGAAUUAUUGGGCGUAAAGGGCGCGUAGGCGGUGCGGUAAGUCACCUGUGAAAUCUCCUGGCUCAACUGGGAGCUUGCAGGCGAAACUGCCGUGCUGGAGUGUGGGAGAGGUGCGUGGAAUUCCUGGUGUAGCGGUGAAAUGCGUAGAUAUCAGGAGGAACACCUGUGGCGAAAGCGGCGCACUGGACCACAACUGACGCUGAGGCGCGAAAGCUAGGGGAGCAAACAGG
Molecule: ribosomal RNA, 253 nt
Filed under: uncultured bacterium
Lineage: Bacteria
Description: partial 16S ribosomal RNA
Rfam family: Bacterial small subunit ribosomal RNA
Source: RNAcentral